AUACAUUCCUUGCACUCUUGCUCACAAGUAGUCUUUGUAAUAAUACUGGGUGGUAGAAUGUAGCCACAAAUAUGUCAAAACCAAAACGGGAUAUUCUGCACUCACGCACUUCUUUAAAACAUAGCGUAUAUUUCAUCAUAACAAUAACAUUCACAUUAGUUAAAGUACAUAAAAUGCUCAAAAUGGUCAACAUUUUAGUCCCUGAUUGGGACUGUCCUCGGGAUAAGUCCUGAGCGGGGACUGAGAAAAGUCCUGAUCAGGGACGGAAACGUCAACCAUUUUGAGUAUUUUAUACACUUUAACUAGUGUGAAUUUUAUUAUUAUUUUUUUUUCAUUCUUUAUUUUGUUUGUGCAGUUAAGAAACAUGUGACUUGCACUGCCACAAUAGCCAGUGCAGAACAAUUGUCAUUUAUAUCAAAGACAUUGCACUUUUUUUUUUGUGAGAGAAAAAACAAACAGGUUUACAUCGUGUACUUCCUAACCACCUCGAGGAAAGAGUCGCUUUGCUCGCCGAUUGAUAGCAUGGUUUAGGAAAAGGUAGGGAUAAAGGUCACGUUAAAACAUUGCUUUAUAAAACAUCACUUUACAAUAUUGAGUCGAGGAUAAACGGCUUAAUAGUUGUUAGAGUGAGUAUCAUCGUUUGCCAAUGAACAAGUGCUGCUGGCUUUAUACAUUAACACGUUUGGCGUGGACCUGCACAGGUUAAUGAGAGUAGACUAAACAGGCAUAAACAAACCAGAUCUAAACUAAGCAUUUGUGGUAUAGUUAAUGGUUCAAGGCAUGAUACUAGACAAGGUAAGUAUUGCUGUGACAUAACAUUUGCCAUGGAGACAGGCUAAUGCAUUAAGAUUUAACAUGACAAGCUGGCGAGAGAGUGGCUCAACAGACUUAUGGCAUAGAGAGGUUCUGCACACAUUUUUAGGUUAGGUUGAGUAUAGUAGCUAGGUCACAUGCAUAUUCAACAUAUCUAAUGUGUGUGUAAAGGGUUUUCAUCGCUUAUUAUCUAGAUAUAUUGGUAAUGUUGCUUAAUGUGGUUGAACAACAGGCUUACAAUUUAUCUAAACACACUAGGUAUUUAUGAGUGAUAUGGGUUGUGUAGAGUUAGUCCCCAAUGAGUGUGGUAGAAUACAAGCGUGUAAGUAGUGUAUGUGUGGCAUAUUAGCACAUACUGUACAUUAACCACCUAUGUGAGCAGCUCGUGUCAUAUCUUUGGUCUGUAGAGUCUGUGGUGCCCUCCGAGGCGGUAUUAGCUUUAGUCUGGGAUCAUCCGAUUCCACACUUGGUCCUUGUUGCGGGGGCAGUCAUAUUGGCCCAUACAGGGUCUUCAGAUGUGGAUCUAGUCUCGGCCCGGUGUUGUAUAGCUGUCUCCCUUGUCGCAGUGCGCUGCUCAGCCCCAGCUCCGGGCUACCCUAUGCCAGCCUGGCGGACUGUGGUACUGUGCUUGGGUGUGUUGCUGUGGUUUUGGGGUUGCUUGGUAUUCUCCUUACCAUGUUUGUAAAUGCGGAUGUGGCGUCGACGGGUCUCCGGGUGGAUCCACGAGGCCACCGCUUGAGGGCAUGCCCCUGAUUUGCAGAAUCUCACAGAAGGCUGAGUAGAGCCGAUCUAGGGCCGCCAAGGGGUGAGGUUACCUUAGGCAAUUUUCUUUCUUUCUCUUUAGCUGUCGUCGAGCGGCCAUCUUAGACACUCUCCGGCUGACUCAUGUUUCUUUCAAUUGUGUAGGUUCUUUCACUGGCAUUCCACUUUAGCCCUCUUGUCUGUUGGUGACCAGGAUGUCCCCCACUGGUCCAAAGGGGGAGGAGGGUAGGAGGUCUGUAGUGCUUUCUGGGGAGUCCGGUGUCGCGGACAGCGGCCGCCUCUCCCCGGCUCCAACUCCCGCAGGCCUCAGUUUGCGUUGCGGUCUAUGCGCCUCAGCAGGUUCAAAAAGGGUAUCCCCCGAUUCCUUGGAGCACCCCCGACGUGGGUGGUGCACCUUGGCGGGUCUCUGGGCAAUAUUGCAGCUGAUAUCGCCUUGUUUAUCUCUUGCCCAGCGGGAGCUCUUUCCCCACGCAUCUAAUCAGCUUGGCAGUCAGACUCCGCCCCCUUAAAUUUUAUUUCUAUAAGGAAAAACACACAAUGUUUUAAAGAAGUCUAUGACUUUAGCUUAAUGAAGUAGUUGUGGUGUAUAGAUGAUGCCCUUGCAUUCUCACUGUUACAUUUCCUGCCUUUUAGGAGUUAAAUUACUUUGGUAAUGCAGCCUUAGUCACACCUCCCUGCAUGUGAAUUACACUGCCUUUAUAAACAUUUCCUGUAAAGAGUCAUCUAAUGUUUACACUUCCUGUAUUGCAAAUUCUGUUUAAUUUAGAAAUUCAUAUCUCCUGCUCUGUUAAUAGCUUGCUAGACCCUGCAGUAGCCUCCUGUGCAUGAAUAAAGUUCAAUUUACAGAGCAGGAGAUAACAACUUUUAAAGUAAGUUAACAUCUGAUUGAAAAUGAGACAAUUUUGUUUUCAUGCAGGCUGUGUCUGUCACAGCCAGGGGAGGUGUAGCUAGGGCUACAUAAACAGAAACAAAAGUGAUUUAACUCCUAAAUGGCAGUGGAUUGAGCAGUAAGACUGCAAGGGCAUGAUCUAUACACAAAAAAACUGCUUCAUUAAGCUAAUGUUGUUUUGGAGACUUUAGUGUCCCUUUAAUGAUUGCAAUUGGCAUACAUAUUUUUUUGAACAUAAUUUAAUUUGCUGCUUUAUUAUUCAGCCAGAAGAAUUCACUUUCUGACAAUUUACAGCUUACUGAAAAGAAUUUGUGUAUUGCUUUGUGGAACACAUUUUUAUUGUAAUAUGAAUAUUAUUACUUUGGAUUUCAAUAGGUUUAUCUUUUUGGGAGGAUCUAUAUAUUGGUAUUUUGGUUUUUUUACUUUAUAUUUGGGCUUAAGCAACAUCUUUUAAUUUAUGUUAUUUUCAUUGUUACUGUCUUCACAAAUAUAAAAUGUGUUAUUUAAAAAUAACAAAACCAGACAAAAUAUAUCUACACCCGAUGAUCCGUUAACUUGAAGGACAUUAUCUGUCACAUUAAAACUAAAUUUACAACAGAAAAAACGAAAAAGCGGAAAUGUGUUAUCUUUGUUGUUUUCUUUUAACCCAAAUAGAAAAUUUUACUGUUAAUUGUAUUGAAAGGUUAUGCCUUGACAAAUAAAUAGCAUUCAAGUUAUAUUUAGAAUAUAGAAAGCCUCCUCCACCUGGAUUCCAAUUGUAAUUCAAUUGUGCAGUAAAUAAGAAACCAAUUUAGUGUGAUCUUUAUAAAAAAAAUAUAAUAUGUUUCUGGGAUUUUAGCUUUUGUUCAGUUCUUCCAUAUCCUUUGACGUCUGUGAGAACCAUUCAGUCCUUUAGGAAUUCUUAGCAUAUCACGUUCUUUGGAUGGAACUCAAGUUUCCAUUUAGGUGAAAAAUUCUGAAAUAUACUGUAUUUGUACUUUUUCUGAGGUUUCUUUUUCUUGAUGAAUUGUCUUUUUUUAUAUUUUGUAUCUGUUUAGAGUUCAGUAGUUGUAUUUAUGAAAAUAAAAAUAUUUUUUCCCACUAUAA
RNAcentral lists this long non-coding RNA (3550 nucleotides) under Pelobates cultripes (western spadefoot toad). The record is from RNAcentral. Lineage: Eukaryota; Metazoa; Chordata; Amphibia; Anura; Pelobatidae.